UGCCCAUUGGCCCAGUGGUUAAGGCGUCUGACUGUUAUUCUUGUUCAAUAUAACAAAUAGCAGAUACAUCAGAAGAUCCCUGGUUCGACCCCAGGAUGGGCAG
This is a non-coding RNA of Daldinia vernicosa, 103 nucleotides long. NCBI's taxonomy places the organism in Eukaryota, Fungi, Ascomycota, Sordariomycetes, Xylariales, Hypoxylaceae. The record is from the annotation of a RefSeq genome assembly.